RNAcentral lists this ribosomal RNA (752 nucleotides) under uncultured bacterium. RNAcentral's name for it is "bacterial SSU rRNA". It matches the Rfam family "Bacterial small subunit ribosomal RNA", at positions 8 to 796 of the family's 1533-position model. The record is from RNAcentral.
AGAGUUUGAUCAUGGCUCAGAACGAACGCUGGCGGCAUGCCUAACACAUGCAAGUCGAACGAGGUUUCCACUUCGGUGGUUUCCUAGUGGCGCACGGGUGAGUAACGCGUGGGAACCUGCCCUGUGGUACGGAAUAACUCCGGGAAACUGGAGCUAAUACCGUAUGUGUCCUGCGGGACAAAGAUUUAUCGCCAUGGGAUGGGCCCGCGUAGGAUUAGCUUGUUGGCGGGGUAACGGCCCACCAAGGCUUCGAUCCUUAGCUGGUCUGAGAGGAUGAUCAGCCACACUGGGACUGAGACACGGCCCAGACUCCUACGGGAGGCAGCAGUGGGGAAUAUUGGACAAUGGGCGCAAGCCUGAUCCAGCAAUGCCGCGUGAGUGAUGAAGGCCUUCGGGUUGUAAAGCUCUUUCGCACGCGACGAUGAUGACGGUAGCGUGAGAAGAAGCCCCGGCUAACUUCGUGCCAGCAGCCGCGGUAAUACGAAGGGGGCUAGCGUUGUUCGGAAUUACUGGGCGUAAAGGGCGCGUAGGCGGUGUGUCAAGUCAGGCGUGAAAGCCCCGGGCUCAACCUGGGAACCGCGCUUGAGACUGGCACGCUCGAGUUCGGGAGAGGAUGGUGGAAUUCCCAAUGUAGAGGUGAAAUUCGUAGAUAUUGGGAAGAACACCGAUGGCGAAGGCAGCCAUCUGGACCGACACUGACGCUGAGGCGCGAAAGCGUGGGGAGCAAACAGGAUUAGAUACCCUAGUAGUCC